GAUGAAGAACGUAGCGAAAUGCGAUACUUGGUGUGAAUUGCAGAAUCCCGUGAACCAUCGAGUCUUUGAACGCAAGUUGCGCCCGAAGCCACUAGGCCGAGGGCACGCCUGCCUGGGCGUCACACGCCGUUGCCCCCCCAUCUACUCCUUCGGGAUUGCGGGGGGGCGGAUGAUGGCCUCCCGUGCGCCUAGCCGCGCGGUUGGCAUAAAUACCAAGUCCUCGGCGACGCACGCCACGACAAUCGGUGGUUGCGAAACCUCGGUUGCCCGUCGGGUGCGUUCGUCGCGCAUCGAGGGCUCGAAAAAAUGCUCGGCUCCGGCUGGGCUUUCAACGCGACCCCAGGUCAGGCGGGGUUACCCGCUGAAUUUAAGCAUAUCAAUAAGCGGAGGA
Molecule: unclassified non-coding RNA, 391 nt
Filed under: soil metagenome
Description: partial contains 5.8S ribosomal RNA, internal transcribed spacer 2, and large subunit ribosomal RNA
Rfam family: 5.8S ribosomal RNA (bases 1-122)
Source: RNAcentral